RNAcentral lists this ribosomal RNA (250 nucleotides) under uncultured bacterium. RNAcentral describes it as "partial 16S ribosomal RNA". It matches the Rfam family "Bacterial small subunit ribosomal RNA", at positions 524 to 773 of the family's 1533-position model. The record is from RNAcentral.
UACGGAGGGUGCGAGCGUUAAUCGGAAUUAUUGGGCGUAAAGGGUACGUAGGUGGUUAAAUAAGUUAACUGUGAAAGACCUGGGCUUAACCUAGGGGUGUAAGUUAAGACUGUUUGACUAGAGUAUAGGAGAGGGUAGUGGAAUUUCCGGUGUAGCGGUGAAAUGCGUAGAGAUCGGAAGGAACACCAGUGGCGAAGGCGGCUACCUGGCCUAAUACUGACACUGAGGUACGAAAGCGUGGGGAGCAAAC